RNAcentral lists this long non-coding RNA (35390 nucleotides) under Triticum aestivum (bread wheat). RNAcentral's name for it is "long non-coding RNA (TAES_LNC020634)". Lineage: Eukaryota; Viridiplantae; Streptophyta; Magnoliopsida; Poales; Poaceae. The record is from RNAcentral.
AGCAACAAGCUUCUCCGUCGUUAUCUUCUCAGGGGCAAUAUGCAACCAUGCUCCAAUGCGUUGAAGAUCAGAUAUGGCCGUUGGAGGAGGCACAACAGGAUCAUCGCGAGCAGACAUAGCUGGGGUAGCAGGCUGGGCAUUGGUUUUGCGCUUCUUAGAACGCUUGACAUGUUGUGGGUUGAUUCACCUUGGAGGCGCCUGAAGGAAUCCAUCACGCAAGGCGCUAAGUCUAGCACUGCGAUGGACCUCAGAAUCAAUCAAGAUAGGCCUAAUAGAUGCAGAUUUACGAGCUCUCUUGUUGCUAAUAACAGGCAUAGCAGUAAACUGGAACUUCUCAGUUACAGGUUCAGUCAGUUCAAAGUGUUCAUCAAAGCAGAGUGCUCGAGCGAUCGGUCGCUUGACAGGUGAAAACUGACGAACAUUCUCAGGAGCGGAUGAGGGGGCAACAGAUUGAACUCUAGAACCCCAUCAAUGAAGCUAUGAUCCCAGGACCGCUUGAUUAAUGGAAACAGAGGCAUCUGUAAUGGCCUAGAAAUGACUGCAGAGUCAAAAUGCUGCAUGAACCUGUAGAAGGUACGUGUCCAUUGCAUCUGAGGGGGUAGAACUAGCCCAAAGAUAAUUAUAACCUAUCCAACAUGCAGAACCUGCUGAGCUAGCAGUUGAUCUACAUGUGGUUGAAAGGGGACAAUAUCUACAUUGGGCAAAGCAGCAGGAAGAUUGGCAUUAUUGACAAAGUCAUCAGAGACUUGCGGCACCAUAGACUCCUGAGACUGAAUAGGUUCUUCAUGUUACACUAGUUCUACAGCAUUGCCAUGGAAAGCAUCAUCCUGCACAUUCUCAUUGCCAGCAGCAGCAGGAGGCACAUCAUUCCAUCCUAACUCAGGGAACUCCGGUAUUACCCAGUUAUGGUUGUUCAAAUGCAUCUGGCCAGGAAGGGGAUGUGGAAUCCCAUCAAAAGGCAUUGGGUCCUCGUCAGCAGACAACACAUCCGCAAAAUCCGCAGAGAAAACAUAAACUGGAGCAGGCCAAGAAACCCUAAUAGAACCAAAAUCUCCAUACUCAUGAUAAACCACAUCCCGAGGAACCAUGGAAGGUGCAGGGAAGGACACAUAAGCAAGAGUCUGCACCAUUAGCUGACCAGUCUGGUGCCAAGCAUGAAAUCGCCCAAAAGUGCUAAUCACAUCUACUAUGUAUUGAGUCCGACGAUAAUCAAGAGGGACACCCAAUAGCAUGACCCAACCACGGCGCAAGCCCUGAGCAGCUCUAUAGUUAACCCCUUCAUCAUGAGGAAUAAAUCGAACAAAGCGAUCGUUGCCCAAAUCAAAGGGUGGAUGAUCCACCAAAACUUGCCUAGAGACUGCACUACGGAAACGGAAUAGUCCAACCCCCUGAAUCCAUGGCUAAGCAUCAAGAACAUCUCUCGCCAACUGAUUGACAACAAAAUCACUAACCAUGUUACGGUAGAGGGGAAUCACCUCCGGUAGUGGCUCUGUCUCGACGAUGCUAAUAGCAUACUCCUCAUGCCUUCUGUCAGGCGCAGUUGCUGGAGCGAAGAAGUUGCGAGGGAGACGGAGCGGCCCCCCAUCUAUGAUCUCAAAGCCCGGCGGCACGUACUGCAUGGAAUCCAACUCAAAGUUGGCCAUCUCUGGCGAUGUCGAUGCAGGUGUGUGCGGCAGUGGCGAUGGUGUUGAGGAUGGAGGUGGUGGCAUUUUUGGUAGUGGGGCGGAUGGCGGAGGUGGGGUUGGUGGUGGUAAUGGAGGUGGCGGAGGUGAAGACGAAGUAGGCUCUGAUGACGAAGCUAGAUGUAAAUCCCCGACGGGACGUAACAAUGGGCAAGCUGCAGCGGUAGGUUCGAGGGAGCUCGAGGCGUCAAGCGGCAAAAUCGAUAGUGGGUUGUCGGGUUGGAUGGCUGAUGGACUCUCAAUGACACGCAGGACCCACCUAAAACCCCCGGCAGGUGCAGAUCCUAGGCAAGAUUUAGCCAUGUGGCCUUGCCGAAAACAACGGCGACAACGUGUUUGAUUGGUGCAACUGGAGGUGAUAUGUGCCAUUGAAAAGCAGUUUUGGCAUUUCCAAACCUUAAACGCAAUUUCAUCAACCAUAUAAGAAAAUCCCUCCAAAUCUUCAAUCGAUUGGCCCAAAAUCCCGAUGGAUGAUAAGUUACGAUCCUGAUUGACUUGCCGUGCAUUGGGAGAUUCAGCAUUGACUGGGCCUGGUGGGUAGGCGCAUGGCGUAGAAGAUGGGCUAACCGGGGCAGUCUCGGCUCUAGGUGAUUUAAUAGGACCAACAAUAGGAAGUGGAUCAGAAGGGUGAAGAUUUGAAAAAAUCCCAGACCCGCCCAAUGAUCGCUCCGAGGAAUGAGGAACUAACUCAGGCGAGAUUGCCGCUGACCGAGUGGAAAGCAUAGGGACCGUACCAAAAUAGAUCGGAGGAGCAGCCACCGUCCACCGGAGCUCCGGCGCCGGUGAUGAAUGAAUAAUAAUGCGCUCGCGUGGAAUGAUAACAUAACCUGCAUCUUGAAUGGUAUAAAUGCAUGUUUGUGUGGUAGGGUAUCAAUAACCUUUGCAUGAAGGAUAAUUCUGAAACGUGGCAAAUGAAAGUUUCUUCCUGCAACUAGAUCUAGACUUCAAAGAAGAUUUGACUCGAGGCUAAUGCAUGGCCAUCAUGCCAAUCAUAGCACGAUGUUUGGUAGGGCUAACAAAAACCCAUUCAGCAUCACAUUCCUUUCUCCAAAUCAAAACUUCACGCCUCCAAUUAGGACCACCAUGUCCCCAUAGGUGGAAGAAACACUUAAAGUGCUCACAAACAAAAGAUCGAAAAGCAAGAACUUAGAUACCAACUUUUUUGCAUGAAACAUGAAAGAAGAAUACCUUGUCAUGUAUAUUGGAAACCAUGAACUCAAUCGCUAAUCCACCAAUAGCUGCCUCUAGUGCCACUGCCACUGAAUCAUCUGAGAGCGAAAAUCAUGCCUACUAGAAGACACCACCAUGAUGAAAGAACCCGUGCCAUCCGAAGGAUGAACCGAUACACCACAAGAUCUAUAGAUCUCAUUUGCAAAAACCAAACCCUUGGAGAAAUCCAAGCCAAGGGUGGAACUAGAGCCCUGAUCCAUUGAAGAUGGUGAUCCUUGUGUAGAGGAGGAGACGCCGGAGAGGAUGAGUGGAUUGGUUUGGGUAAUUAGUGGCUAUGGAGAGAGAUCGCCAGAGAGCCUAGUGGCGAGGGUGGGGUGGGGGUGGGAACCAUCAUGAAUGAAUAAUAAUGUAGCGGCGAGGGUGGGGGGGCGAUCAGAUGUAUUGCCACAGCUAGUAUAUCAAAUGGUUUUCAAAGGUCUGGGGUACAUGAUUUCCGAGGUUUUCUUGGUUAUGUGUUGACAAAUGGAUAUAGUUGGAGUGUAGGAUUUGUUAGUUGUGUGAGAUAUUUGUGCCUCCCUAUAUCCCCAACACCAUAUUGCAUAACCAGAAAAUUUUGAGAUUUCAUAGGUGGGAAUUCAAGUAGUUACCUAGGUUUAUCCUUCCAACAAAUGCAUGAAGGUUUAUGUAUUUGCUUCCGGCUUAUUCUGCAAGCCAAAUCCUUUAUUUUGUCUUCAGUUGUGGUAUUCGAGUUGCUUCAAUGUAAAGUGUUGAUUCCAUACCUUUCCUAAGCGGUGUUCUCAUAUUUCUAUGUGAAUCCUAAUCCUUUCGGAUCAUCGAGAUUGUCACGUCAAUUCAUUUCCAACCGGUGUGCUUCUCUGCAAGUUAAUCCCAUCCUUUCGAUAUUUGCUAGAUCAAUUCUCAGUUCUUCACAAUGAUGUUUGUUUCAUCCAUCCCAAGUUGCCUUUUUUCCCACCAUCCCAACCAUUGCUUCAAGGACUCAUAUAUCUUAAUCAAGUAUCCAUGUUAUUUAUGAGAAUUAUCUCCAUUUUUUCCCUUUAAUGUUCUUAUCCGGUGAUCCCUCGUGAAGAUAAUCACGAGCUUCAAGUUCAUCAUUCUUCGUUCUCAUUUUCUUUUCCUGUGGAUUCAAUUCAAGCUUUCAAUGUUGAUCAUAUCCCUUUCCUCGUUCAAAUGCUUUCCCAUGCCGGUGCACCUCAUAAUCAUUGCCCGCUUGCUAUUCAAUUGUUCCGGACUGCUCAAGAUAUCUCUGAAGAUUCGUGUUUCCACUCUGCAGCAAUUCAAGCUAUUUCGAGGUUGUUACCUCAUUCAACCCAUUUAAUUCAACCGGUGCAAUAUCUCUUUAAAAAUCGUUCAACGGUGUUUUCUUUUGAGUUGGCCCUAACCCACAGGUCUUUUCCCAGGAUCUUACCUGACUCUUAAAAUUUAUCUGGAGCGAUUCUCAAAUUCUUUUCAAAUUUUGACGUAAGAAUGGAUUUUCAUCAGUCAUAUGCUUUCACCAAGAUCGCUUUCAGAUUAUUUUCAUCCUUGGCUCAACAUUUAUGUUCUUCAUUGUUUCGAAGUGACUCAACAAUUUUGGUGGUGUUUCUCAUCGUCAUUCUCAGCUUUUGAACAACUGAAGAAGCUUAAAUCUUGGUCCGUUCUCUUGAAGAUUCAUAGUUCUAGUUUCAUGCCAUCCUCACAAUUGUAUUCGAUUGUGGGAAUUCUUUUCACCCAUCCGACGCAUUUCAGGAGUUACUUUCCUUUCUUGAUCAUCUGAAGGCCAUCAAUUCUGAAUAUUACUCAUUCUUAGCUUUCAGCCAUCAUUCUCCAAAUCUUACUGGUGCAUCGUUCAAGUAUUCUCUAGUCAGCUUGCUAUCUCUUCAUUCUCUUGUAUCUAAAUUCACUCAAGUAUCUUCGUUUGUUUUCUAAUUCUUCCCGGUGAUUCAUACUCUUCCUUCGUUUGUUUCAAUUCUUACAAUGGUUCGUUCAAGACUCCUCUUCCUUUGUUAUCAUAUCAAUUCAUUCAUUCUUCCAAACAUCUUACCGGUGGUUUGCUCAAGUUGUUCCCAAGUUUGCGCUAUAUCUCUCCUCAAUCCUUGCAAGAAGAAUAAGUAGUAUGUCUACCUAUUGCUUGUCAUCAAUUUAAGUUAAUGAAAGGUAAGCAUGGCAUAAUUCUUAUUCUUGUUUCCUCAAGGUGAUUUAAUAUUUUCCUCCAGAGAUUGUUCAUGAUGAGUAAAUUCUUGAUUCCAAGUGAUUGAUCUCUCUUUCCGGUGUUGCGACACUUCACGGUUAUAUCGUCAUGAAGCUCCAUCUAAUCAUUACAAGGCUCCAAUCUUCUUCUCUUCAAUUUUCACUUCCUUGUUGUCAUUCUAUUUUUAACCACAGUUCAUGGUGGUUCGCUAAGGACUUAAUUCAUUCUCGAAGUGUUCGUCAAGACUUUUGUUGGGAGAGCUCAAAUAUUAUUCAUCUUGCAUUUCGAAGUGCAAUUAUUUCUACCUUAUCUUUGACGUGUCGGUAUGUCGUUCUUGACAAUUUCCCUUUGUGUUUCAUGAUUCACAGAUAUCAAGAAUGACAUAUUUUAAAUCCACCAUUUUCUCUUCGUUCAGUAGAUCUUUUCAACCUAUCAAUCUUUUUGUUGGAGUUAUCAUGGUAGAUUUUUCACCUAAUGCCUUCCCUGAGGACUGUUCUAAUUGUGGUGCUUAUCAAUGAUCUAAGUUUUCUCCUAUCCUCUCAGUGAAAGAAGUUUUCAUCUCUUCGCUUGAUCUUAAGCAAUCAAUUGUUUUCAUUAGUGGAAAAUUUCACCUCUAGUUUUGAGAUGUUUUCAUAAGCCCACGAGGACCAUAUCAUUUGAUUGUUGAUUCUUCAACAACUCUUUUCAAGCCUUUCUCAUAAGGAUGCUCUUUCAAAUUCAUUUGCAGUAGAAUAUGUUGGUUUUCUCUUCUCCAUUCUUUUCAUUUCACUCUUCAUAUGUUCUGGAGGUAUCGUGUUGUUCCUCUCGUAAAGUAUCAUCCCAUCUUGUCAAGUUCAUGCCCAAAUCCUUCCAUUUUCAACUAGAGUGAUGUCCAAAUUCUUCUUUCCCUUGUAUAUCCUGCUUCAACCAGAGGGGUUCCAAAUUCUUUCUUGACCAUUAUGCUCUUCAUUCAUAUCUUUGCAACCUCCAAGUUUCUCAUCUUGUCUCUUUUGUUCUCUCUUUUCUAACGAAGUGUUUUCAACUUCGUUCAUCUCAAUUAUCUUAUUUCUUUCAAGUUGUUCAACCUCUCAAGGUUCCUGGUUUCACUCGUCUGUCGAAGAAGCGACUUCAUUUUACCUCUUCUCUCCGUUUUCAUUCUUAGAUCUCGGGGCGAGAUCUCUUGUAAGUGGAGGAGAGUUGUGACAGCCUGAGACCAACGCUCUAGAUGCCUUCCAUGUUUUGCGUGUUAGCUGUGUUAAUUAUUUGUUUGUUGCAUUUCAUCAUUGCAUCAUUUGCUCUGCAUCAUGUUUUCAUGCAACCCUUUUAAAAAACUCAACUAAAUAAAAUGCAUGGAUCUUUGAUCCAUUUAAAUCGAGGGAAUUCACAUGGUGAUUUCUCUUUAUAACAUAUCCUCACAAUAUUUAGGGAGCUAUAAUAAAUAUUUCAUUACUUUGGGAUUAACCGCAACCCACUCGCAAUUUAAUUCUCAUGCAUUUUUGCUCCAAGUUUGUUCUCCAAACUAUCUCCAUAAUUCUUUAUCUCUUUUAUAGAGGUUCCACCAAAAAUCCUCAGCCAUUUUUGACCUUCCAAACACUUAUUUCCUACUCGAACCCGUUUGAAUUAAAUUCAAAUGAGUUUCAGUUUAACUUCACACGCGUGCUCAUUUCUAUUUUUCUUAGAUCAAGCUCAUUUUUAUGAGUGUGAGAAAAAGACCCUCCUGCUCAAGCUCCAUCCCUAAUCUCUCUUUCUUUUUUGUCAUAUCUCUAUUUUUUUACAUAGAAGAGAAGGGCGAGAGAGCAACCCACUAGCCUAGUUGGGCCUCCUAAGCCAGCAGCGAGGCUAGCCCAUUUGCUUCCCAAGGCCCAGCCACGCGUCCCUUCAACCCUAGCCCGAUCCUCCUCUCGAUCCCUCGCUCUCCUCUCGAUCCCAUCUCCCUCCUGACCGCUGCCACUUGCACACACAGAGCCAGGAAGAGGAGCUCCCUGCGCCCGAUCCCCUCGCCGCCACCACCGCGAGUUCCCCUUCGUCGCGCCGUCCCUCAAGCUCCUGCAAGCCCGCGACCUCCUUAGCACCGAGCGCCGCCCCUCCGUCGUUUGCCUCUGGUGCCUCUGACCUUCCUCGCGCCUGAUCUGCUCCAAGCCUGGCCGCCGGCCAAGUUCCUUGACCCACCGACCCGAGCCGCCUCCUUGUUGUCCCCGUCACCAGCACUGCUGCCCUGCCGUGCCUAAGUCUCCUCGUGCACCUCCCAGCUUUGUCCGUCGUAGCGGCCGCCAUGCUCCAGCGCCGCCUUGACCUCAUAAUCCUCAACCUCCAUGCCGUCUCAAAGUCCGUCACCCACCGCUAGAUGGUCCAGUCGCUGCUUCUUCCGGCUGCGCCUGUACGUCGACGCCAAGUUCCGUUGCCUGCUCGCCGCCAUCGCCCUAGAAGGAGCUCCACCUCCCCUGCUUCAUGCCAAGGCCAACAUCGGCAACUUCUUCCAGCUACUUCUCGUCCAUGCCCCGACGACCAGCGGCUCGAGCUACCUCCACGCACCUCCGGUGACCUCCCGGGGCAGGGCCUCUGCAAGUUCCUUGAUGCCCCUUUAGUUCAUCAAGACCGGCAAGUUCGACUACCGCAUCGAAAUGUCAAGUACAUGACAAACCUCGAAAAUGUUGGACGCACCAAGUUCCUCUUCAAAUACGAACGACCAUAUCCGAUGUGGAUUUCGUCAAGUACCCUAGAGGCCACAUUGAUGCCAAGUACCUCUAUCGCCGUGUCCGGAAUUGUCAAACCACCUUGGAUUUUGCCGAGUGCCACUACACCCAAAGGGACUCGGAUUCGUCAAGUAGCCUGACAACAUGUGUACCACUACCGUCGACUCUAUGGACGUCAAGUUCCUCUUAGAAACGUGAACCACUACUUCCCUCGACGAACUUGAUGCGUUCUAAAAAUGCACGCUUCAAAGGUAUAUCCCCGAGACGACGUCUGUGAAUGAAUCCGAGUCCAUGUGUGUUGUAUGAGAUGCUCGUGUUUGCACCAUGUCCGAGUUGUCAUUGCACGUUCCUCCUCCUAUGCCAUGUCGUCGACCCAUGGGAACCCGGUAACCGGGAUCACCCCACCAUCUUUUGCAUGUUCCGUACAUCCAUACUUUCUUUUGCACCGACAUCUCGACGAUUGUCCGAUCAUCGGAAUGUUGUCGUGGCACCAUUUCAGUUGUCAUUGUCAUGGCACCCCUUUCGUUCUGCCAUGGUAACCAAAUGCUUCAUAACUUGCUCAUUUCAACAUUUUCAUAAGAUCGCAUAAAACUUGUAUAUGUCAUCUGCAUCAUGAUAACAACAUUUAAAAUGGUUGGAAUUGUUGUUUGUUAUUUCUGGCCUCUUUUAAACUUUCCUAGAAAGGUAGUUUUAUUAUGCUUCACCUCUUGCCAUGUUAACCAAUAGUUAAUGUUGUCUUGUACAUAAACGAGAGCAAACUAAAUAAUUGAAUGUGUUGAUUCAUCAAUACGUAACUCGUUGCAUAUUGAGCUCCACUUAACCUGUAGUAUUGUUUGUUGCACUUUGCCAUGCCAUGCCUCAUUGAAAAUGGACAUGCAUCAUACUUGAUUGUGCAUCAUGCCAUGUUUAUGCUAGUGUGUUUACCAUGUUGUUUGCUUCUUUCAGGUUAUGCACCUUCUCGAUAUUUCUGGUUACGUUGGGAUUGUGAUGAUUUGUUCGACUAUGCCCGUUCGUCUACUUCAUGGAUCUGUUCUUCUUCCUAGCGGGAUUCCAGGCAAGAUGAACAUUACCCUAGAUAUCACUACUAUCUUGUCUUUGCUAGCUGUCUCGAUGCUAUCGCUAUGUCAUGCUACCUACCACUUGUUUAUUAAGCCUCCCAAAUUGCCAUGAUAAGCCUCUAAUCUUUUCCACCUUCCUAGCAAACCGUUGUUUGGCUAUGUUACCGCUUGCUCGAGCCCUCUUAUAGUGCUGCUAGUUGCAGGUGCAGUGCAGGUUGUUCCAUGUUGGGACAUGGAUGUCAUGGGAUAUCACAAUAUCUCUUAUUUAAUUAAUGCAUCUAUAUACUUGGUAAAGGGUGGAAGGCUCGACCUUUUUCCUGGUGUUUUGUGCAAUUCUUGUCGCCCUAGUUUCCGUCAUACCGGUGUUAUGUUCCUUGAUUUUGCGUUCCUAACACGGUCGGCGUUUAUGGGCCCCCUUGACAAUUCGCUUUGGAAAAACUUCUUGAGCAAGGCCCAACAUUGGUUUUCCCAUUUGCCCAACAUAAUAAUAAACAUGAUAAUAAAUUUGACACAUAUGGAGUUAGCGCGACCCGAGGUUCGUUAUUCAACGUAACACAGGGGGCCCAGUGCUGAAGGUGCUGGUCCAAACCGGGUAGACUGCGGGGCCACCAUGGGGAAACUCGAGGUUUGGUUUUACUCAUAGGAUGUCCCAUCCGAUCAUGGCCUGAUACGAUAUACGCGUGGCUACUAUUAGGGUGUCGGCAUGUCGGGAGGUCUUGCUGGACUUGUUUUACCAUUGUCGAAAUAUCUUGUGAACCGGGAUUCUGAGCUUGAUCGGGUUAUUCCGGGAGGAGGAUUUUCCUCUGUUGAUCAUGAGAGUUUGUGAUUGACUAAGUUGGGACACCCCUGUAGGGUUUAAACUUUAAAAAGCCGUGCCCAUGGUUAUGUGGCAGAUGGGAGUUUUCAUUAUCCGGUUAUAAAGAACUUGACACCAGAUCCGAAUUAAAAUACUCCAACCGUGUGUGUAACUGUGACUGUCUCUUUUCGAGUGGGUUCAAGAAGAGAACAUGGUGGGGUUGUGUAUGACUCGUAAGUAGUUCAGGGUCAUUUUUUGAUCAUUACUAGAUUGCGACUGUUAUCCAUAGUUUCUCUUAUUAUUCUUGUACUCGUAAGUUAGCCACCAUACAAUGCUUAGUGGUGCUACAACCUCACCACUUAUCCAUUCCAUACCCAUUAAGCUUUGCUAGUCUUGAUACCCAUGGUAAUGGGAUUGCUGAGUCCUUGUGGCUCACAAAUUAUUACAACAACAGUUGCAGGUACAGGUAAUGCAUGAUCUGACAUGAGAGCGAUGCUUGCUUGUUUUGGAGUUCUUCUGCUUCUUCGAUCAAGGGAUAGGUUCCGGGUCGGGAGCCUGGGAUUAGCAGGGUGGAUGUCAUUCUUAUUUUUUGUUUGAUUUCAUCCGUAGUCAGAUCCUGCUCUUCUGUAUGAUGAUUUCUAUGUAUUGAUGUGUUGAUGUAUUCAUGUUGUAGCUUGUGGGAGUGUAAGCCUUUAUCUGGUAUUCUCAUCUAUUCAAUACAUGGUAUGUUGUAAUGAUAUCCACCUUGCUAUGCACUCGAAAUGCUGUUGUGCCCCAAUCAUGAAUUCAUCAUGUGAUUGGGAUAGAAUCGCAUCUUGGGCGCUACAAAGGAGAAGGACAACUCUUUCUAGGAAGAGAACCUCGAGGCCACCCUUCGCAACAAGGACGGAGAACUGGAGGCCCUUGUCCAGCAACGCACCAAGGAUCUGGAGGAUAAGCACAAGGCGGCCCUUGACACGCUCACCCUUGACUCAACUCCCCAGCUAAAGAAAGUUGUCGAUGAUCUUGCCGCUGCAUCCAUUGCCAAGGCUGACCUUGAUCAACAGGUGGCCAAACUGACAGAGGAUCUUGCCGGGAGCACCAAGGAAAUUGUGGCUCUCAAGGAGGAAGCGCAGAAGGCUGAGAUUCUUCUGAAGGAGGUGCAAUCGCAGCUUUCUCCAAAGAGCCAGGACUUUGACACCGCCAAUUGCACUAUCACUAAUAUGAAGUCAAGGCUUGGCACCUUGGAGAGUGGAAUCAAGUUUGUCGGAGCUCGUGAGAAGCAUCUGAUGAAGGACUUGGACAACACGAGAAACCUCCAGAAGGACAUAGAGGGCAAACUGGCGAACCAAGUUGAGCAGUGUGAUCUCGGGAUCAAGAGUCUGGUCGACAUUGUCGAGUGCCUCUCUGCCUAGAUCGCAAUGAUGGAUUUGAAGAGCCCAACCUUCUUAGUCAGCAGACAUGAGGUUCCGAGCGUCAAGCUUGCGCUCUUCUUCGAAAGCUUGAUCGAAGGGCUGAGGACACAUGAGGAAGAAAAAGCCGCCCGUUUUGCAAAUAAGUCCCAAAAGCUUGCAUGUGAUGCCCUCUUCAUGGUCUUGAGCAACAUCGCCUAUGGCCAUCCGGACCUCAACCUCCCCGAUGGCUUCAAGAGGCUGCCGGCAGGUGCUGAUGUUUCUGCUGCCGAGGAGAAGGCGGGCCCCUUCGCCGACAAGGUCCUCUCCGUCCCCAAGGUCCCCUAAGGCCGCCAAGCACAGCCUUGAACCAUUUUUUGCCGUGGUGCCCUGUAAUGAAACAUUACACAUGUCUCGUGUUUAGGCCUCGUACUGCUUUUGUUUGUGUUGAACCGAUGUUUAAUUAAAUUUGAGUGCAUGCUAUCCCUCUUGUGUUUCACCCAUGGAUGUUUGUAUGGUUAGCUUCCUUCUAUGUGUUUUGUUUGCCUGACCAUAACAUGCUGCCGUGAUUGCUAUGAGGAGCGGGUCCUUAGCAUUCAGCUGGCAAGGACAUGUCCCGGCAAGUUUUUCCUUAGGAGUCUUUGACGCUGCCGCCCACUUUGUUGAGUAGUGCUCGAAACAAAAGCGGGGCCGCAGACAAAUACAUCAAGGUGCCACCACAUGAAAGGCCCUAACCAUAUAGAAAAACUUAGUUGUCCGAGGGAUAAGCAAAUGCAGACUUCGGAUAAAAAGUUAGUGGGCAUGUUAACUUAGCUUUUGUUCACGCUUCCUCCUUCUUUCGUCACGGUCGUUCGUCACGUCCGCAUAUCUUAAGAGGAUGGUUUUUGCGCAUCUAUUUCAGAUCUACAACAUCAUUCAACAUAAAAAAUGCACAAGGGGAAAACUUGGCAGUUUAUCAGUUGCGCGUCAACCCCCGGCAAGGGCCGGAGGGGAUAGUAGAUCACUUGCAGGUGAUAAUGCAUGAUGAAAGGUAGUGUUGGUUCCUCUCUCCUUUCCCCUUACACUUUUAACGAUAUCACAGCUGUAGGCAUAAAGGUCACACUGGCACGGGCGGCCUUGCCGGAGCGUGCUUGCCGGGCAUCAAUCAACAGAUUCACACCAGUGUUUUACUCGGGAUUUUCCCUUAGCGGGACAAAUGCUGGACCGAGUUAUGCAUGGGCUUAUCGACGUUGAUGACGCUAACCCUCAAUCAUUGACAAGGGAAAGUGGUGGAGGAGGAAACCAUAUACCAUAUAUCCUCGCUUUUCCCCCAGAUGGGGGCUGCAUGGUGGCCACGCUACCCGAGCCAUCCAGGGUCGUCGUGUCGCCGCCACCUUUCAUUUUUGCCGCAGCCAUGGCCGCGGCGGAGAUGGGCGACGGAACCUGGGUAGGACGGACGAGGGAGUGACAUCGCCUUCCCACCCUCCCCCCUCCCGAAGAAGUUGGCGGAGGGAGCGUCGAUGUUGAUGAUGAUGCAUCUUGAAGCGUUGUUCACAAACUCGGGUUUGCGCAAGCGCUUUCCCCUACCUGGCGCGCCAAAGGUGUCGUGGAUCACGAUCACGUAUGGGGCCAACAACCCCUUGUGGUUCGGCAAGGGGGAAGGGCGUGUUGCACAAAGAUCGGAGACCAUGGAACAGCAUGGCGAGGGUGACGCUGGUGGUUUUUACCCAAGCUCUUUUUUCUAGAGGUGUUGCCGGGGAGGAGUUUAGUAUUCCUAGUCUUUGUCUUUAGAGUUUUUCUUUAAGUUAACUUUCAAUUUUUGCCUUUACUUUUUGAUACGUCUCCAACGUAUAUAUAAUUUUUUGAUUAGUCCAUGCUAUUAUAUUAUCCAUCUAGGAUGUUUUAUAUGCAUUUAUAUGCUAUUUUAUAUGAUUUUUGGGACUAACCUAUUAACCUAGAGCCCAGUACCACUUUCUGUUUUUUCCUUGUUUUUGAGUUUUACAGAAAAAGAAUACCAAACGGAGUCCAAUUGACCUGCCAAUUUUUGUGGAUUUUUUAUGGACCAAAAGAAGCCCCCGAAGUAAAAGAGUUGGGCCAGAAGAGUCUCGAGCCAUCCACGAGGGUGGAGGGCGCACCCUACCCCCUGGGCGCGCCCCCUACCUCAUGGAUGACUCAGAGACCCCCUGACGUGAGACCGAUGCCAAAAAUUCCUUUAAAUACAGAAACCCCCAAAAAGAAACCUAGAUCGGGAGUUCCGCCGCCGCAAGCCUCUAUAGCCACCAAAAACUAAUCGGGACCCUGUUCCGGCACCCUGCCGGAGGGGGGAAUCAUCACCGGUGGCCAUCUUCAUCAUCCCGGCGCUCUCCAUGACGAGGAGGGAGUAGUUCACCCUCGGGGAUGAGGGUAUGUACCAGUAACUAUGUGUUUGAUCUCUCUCCCUCGUGUUCUUGAUUUGGCAUGAUCUUGAUGUACCGCGAGCUUUGCUGCUAUAGUUGGAUCUUAUGAUGUUUCUCCCCUUCUACCUUCUUGUAAUGGAUUGAGUUUUCCCUUUGAAGUUAUCUUAUCGGAUUGAGUCUUUAAGGAUUUGAAACACUUGAUAUAUGUCUUGUGUGGGAUACCCGUGGUGACAAUGGGGUAUUCUAUUGAUUCACUUGAUGUAUGUUUUGGUGAUCAACUUGUGGGUUCCGUGACCUUGGGAAUCUAUGCAUAGGGGUUGGCACACGUUUUCGUCUUGACUCUCCGGUAUAAACUUUGGGGCACUCUUUGAAGUUCUUUGUGUUGGUUGAAUAGAUGAAUCUAAGAUUGUGUGAUGCAUAUCGUGUAAUCAUACCCGCGGAUACUUGAGGUGACAUUGUAGUAUCUAGGUGACAUUAGGGUUUUGGUUGAUUUGUGUCUUAAGGUGUUAUUUUACUAUGAACUCUAGGGCUGUUUGUGACACUUCUAGGAAUAGCCCAAUGGAUUGAUCGGAAAGAAUAACUUUGAGGUGGUUUCGUACCCUACAAUAAUCUCUUUGUUUGUUCUUAGUUAUUAGUGACUAUGGAGUGACUCUUUAUUGCAUGUUGAGGGAUAGUUAUAUGAUCUAAUUAUGUUAUCCUUGUUGAGAGAACUUGCACUAGGGAAAGUAUGAACCCUAGGCCUUGUUUCAACUCAUUACAAUACUGUUUUCGCUCACUUUUAUCAUUAGCUAUCUUGCUGUUUUUAUAAUUUCAGAUUAUAAAAACCUAUAUAUACCAUCCAUAUUGCACUUGUAUCACCAUCUCUUCGUCGAACUAGUGCACCUAUACAUUUUACCAUUGUAUUGGGUGUGUUGGGGACACAAGAGACUCUUUGUUAUUUGGUUGCAAGGUUGUUUGAGAGAGACCAUCUUCAUCCUACGCCUCCUACGGAUUGAUAAACCUUAGGUCAUCCACUUGAGGGAAAUUUGCUACUGUCCUACAAACCUCUACACUUGGAGUCCCAAGAACGUCUACAAGAAGAAGGUUGUGUAGUAGACAUCAAGCUCUUUUCUGACGCCGUUGCCAGGGAGGUUAGUGCUUGACGGUAUAUCUUUAGAUCUUGCAAUCGAAUCUUUUAGUUUCUUGUUUUAUCACUAGUUAGUUUAUAAAAGAAAACUACAAAAAAAUGGAAUUGAGGGUGCCUCAUAUGCUUCAUCUUUUUAGUAUCUUUCGUGAAAAUAAGGAUUCCGAUAAUUGUGCCAAAAUGUUAGAAGAAGAAUGCAAUAAAUGUUUGGCAUACAAUCUUUGAAUGAUGAGCAUGAUUGUGAUGUUGUUAGUAUGAACUCUUUGAAUAUCCGUAGUACUAAUGAUGAUUGCACUAGUCAUGAUGAAAAUGUCUCUUAUAAGCAUGUCAAUUUUUGUGGAGUGCAUAGAGUUUUCAAGUACACACCAAAUAGGGAAGAUAGAUUUUGCAAGAGGCAUAAGUAUUUAGAAACUAAAUGGUUGCAAGAGAGGCUAGAUGCUUGUGCUGAAAUUAAAAAUUUCUUUGCCACCCUUGUGAACUUUGCAAUGAACGUGAUCGUUUAAAUCUCCAAUGCAAAUUGUUUCAUGAUCGUAUCGUGUACAAAAUUUGUGAUGAUUUGAUUUCCCUUGCGCAUCAUAAUGAACUUAGUUUGCUUGUGGGUUAUGAAGAAAUGAAAUGUAUAACUAAGGAUAUUCCAGAAUUUUUCCUUGAUAAAGUUCUUGAUUUUGAUCUAGAGGAAAUUUAUAUGUAUUGUGCGGUGAAUUGCAUUGAAAAUCCUUAUAUUGCCAAUUACAUAAAGACAAGAAAAAAAAUAGAAGAUGAAGAGAAUACUAAUGAAAGGGAAGAGAUUUCCCAAUAUCCUCCUAUUCUUUCUUAUGAUGAAUCAGGUGACGAGGAGGAGCCUUCUAUUCAACCAAUAUCAUUAAUAAGGAGCUCCAAAAAGAGGAUUAAACCCAUACUUAAUGUGAAGAAGAAAAAGAAAAGACGGAGAAGUCAUCCCAAAUGAUGUUGCUCCUAUUACUCAUUGUGAUGAUGAUAAUUGCUAUACUAUUAGUGCUAUCCAUACUAUUAAUGAUGAGAGUGAUUAUGAUUAUGAUACGAAAAGGCCCAAGCUUGGGGAUGCUAUGUUUAAUGAAGAUGAUAUUUUUAGUCUCCCAAGUUUUGAUGAGCAAAUUUAUUAUGAGGAUAGCAUGCCUCCUAUUUAUGAUGAUUAUAUUGAUGAAAGGGGGUUUGGAAGAGUGUCAACUUUAGGAAGUAAUGAUCCCACUAUUUUGGAGGAUCUUGAAUAUUAUUGUGAUAAUAGAGGUCAUGACUUUAUUUAGUAAUGAUUCCACUAUCUUGGAAGAGGUUUCAAUUGAUUAUGAUGAGAACAAAGUUGCUACUUAUGAUGAUUAUUGUGAUGAUACUUAUGUUAUAAAAAGUAGUGAUGAUUAUAUUUACAAAACUUGUCAUGAUUAUGAUUACCCUUUUCUGAACAUUACUCUUUUAAUGUGGAAACAAUUUAUAGUAUUCGAGUUUUUUAUGAUACUCCCACUAUUCCGAAAGAGAAUAAUUUUGCUUAUGUGGCGAGUAGUAAAUUUUCUAUGCUUGUAGAUCAUGAAAAGAAUGCUUUAUGUGAUGGUUAUAUUGUUGAAUUUAUUCAUGAUGCUACUGAAAAUUAUUAUGAGGGAGGAAUAUAUUCUUGUAGGAAUUGCAAUAAUAUCAAGUUUCCUCUCUAUGUGUUAAAAGUUUUGAAGUUAUGCUUGUUUUGUCUUCCUAUGCUAGUUGCUUCUUGUUCCCAUAAAUUGUUUGCUCACAAACUACCUAUGCAUAGGAACUGGUUAGGCUUAAAUGUGUUAGUCAUAUUAUUCAUGAUGCUCUCUUUAUGUUUCAAUUCUUAUAUUUUAUGUGAGCAUCAUUGAAAUCGUCAUGCCUACCUAAAAAGGCAUUAAAGAAAAACGCUUGUUGGGAGACAGCCCAAUAUUUACCCCUACUGUUUUUGUGUGUCCACAUGAUUAAUCUACUGUAGUAAUCAUGUUUUAUAGUUUUUGUUUCAAUAAAGUGCCAAGUAGAACCUACGGGAAGACUUGGGUGAAAGUUAAUGUGAUCUUGCUAUAAAAAACAGAAACUUUGCGCUCACAAGAUUAGUUGUCAUUUUUACAGAAUAGUGAUUUUAAGUUGAUUCUUUUUGCAUAAUAUUAAUAGAAACAUUACUCACGUCCACCAAUGUAUUUCAGAAUUUUUGGAGUUACAGAAGUAUUCGAGAGUUACAUAUUACUACAGACUGUUCUGUUUUUGACAGAUUUUGUUUUCUGUGUUGUUUGCUUAUUUUGAUGAAUCUAUGAGUAGUAUCGGAGGGUAUCAACCAUAGAGAAGUUGGAAUACAGUAGAUAUUAAACCAACAUAAAUAAAUAAUGAGUUCACAAUAGUAUCAAAAGUGGUGAUUUUAUUUCCUUAUACUAACGGAGCUUACGAGUUUUCUAUUGAGUUUUAUGUUGUGAAGUUUUCAAGCUUUGGGUAAAGAUUCGAUGGACUAUGGAAUAAGGACUGGCAUGAGCCUAAGACUGGGGAUGCCCAAGGCACCCCAAGGUAAUAUUCAAGGACAAGCAAGAGCCUAAGCUUGGGGAUGCCCCGGAAGGCAUCCCCUCUUUCGUCUUCGUUCAUCGGUAACCUUACUUGGAGCUAUAUUUUUAUUCACCACAUGAUAUGUGUUUUGCUUGGAGCAUCAUUUUAUUUUGUUUUGUUUUGCUUGAUGUUUGAAUAAAAUACCAAGAUCUUAAAUUCUUAAAUGUUAGAGAGUCUUCACAUAGUUACAUAAUUAUUCAACUCCUCAUUGAUCUUCACUCAUAUCUUUCGGAGUAGUUUGUCGUUUGCUCUAGUGCUUCACUUAUAUCUUUUAGAGCACGGCGGUGGUUUUAUUUUUAAGAAAUAGAUGAACUCUCAUGCUUCACUUAUAUUGUUUUGAGAGUCUUGAACAGCAUGGUAAUUUGCUUUGGUUAUAAAUUUAGUCCUAACAUGAUAGGCAUCCAAGAGGGAUAUAAUAAAAAAAUUCAUAUAAAGUGCAUUGAAUACUAUGAGAAGUUUGAUUCUUUAUGAUUGUUUUGAGAUAUGAAGAUGGUGAUAUUGAAGGAAAUAUGCCCUAGAGGCAAUAAUAAAGUUAUUAUUUAUUUCCUUAUUUCAUGAUAAAUGUUUAUUAUUUAUGCUAGAAUUGUAUUAACCAGAAACAUAAUACAUGUGUGAAUACAUAGACAAACAGAGUGUCACUAGUAUGCCUCUACUUGACUAGCUCGUUGAAUCAAAGAUGGUUAAGUUUCCUAGCCAUAGACAUGAGUUGUCAUUUGAUUAACGGGGUCACAUCAUUAGAGAAUGAUGUGAUUGACCUGACCCAUUCCGUUAGCAUAGCACUUGAUCAUUUAGUUUGUUGCUAUUGCUUUCUUCAUGACUUAUACAUGUUCCUAUGACUAUGAGAUUAUGCAACUCCUGUUUACCGGAGGAACACUUUGUGUGCUACCAAAUGUCACAACGUAACUGGGUGAUUAUAAAGGUGCUCUACAGGUGUCUCCGAAGGUACUUGUUGGGUGGCGUAUUUCGAGAUUAGGAUUUGUCACUCCGAUUGUCGGAGAGGUAUCUCUGGGCCCUCUCGGUAAUGCACAUCACAUAUGCCUUGCAAGCAUUGCAACUAAUGAGUUAGUUGCGGGAUGAUGUAUUACAAAACGAGUAAAGAGACUUGCCGGUAACGAUAUUGAACUAGGUAUUGAGAUACCGACGAUCGAAUCUCAGGCAAGUAACAUACCGAUGACAAAGGGAACACCGUAUGUUGUUAUGCUGUUUGACCGAUAAAGAUCUUCGUAGAAUAUGUGGGAGCCAAUAUGAACAUCCAGGUUCCGCUAUUGGUUAUUAACCAGAGACAUGUCUCGGUCAUGUCUACAUAGUUCUCGAACCCGUAGGGUCCGCACGUUUAACGUUUCGAUGACGGUUAUAUUAUGAGUUUAUAUGUUUUGAUGUACCGAAGGUUGUUCGGAGUCCCGGAUGUGAACCCGGACAUGACGAGGAGUCUCGAAAUGGUCGAGACAUGAAGAUUGAUAUAUUGGAAGCCUAUGUUUGGAUAUCGGAAGUGUUCCGGGUGAAAUCGGGAUUUUACCGGAGUACCGGGAGGUAAAUGGGCCUUAGUGGGCCUUUACAGAGAAGAGGAGAGGCGGCCAGGGCUGGGCCGCACGCCCCUCCCCCUAGUCCCAAUAGGACAAGGAGAGGGGGGCGCCCCCCCUCCUUUCUUCUCUCCCUCCUCUUUCCCCCUCUCGAAUCCUAUUCCAACUAGGAAAAGGGGGGAGUCCUACUCCCGGUAGGAGUAGGACUCCUCCUGGCGCGCCCUCUCCCUGGCCGGCCGCACCCCCCCUUGCUCCUUUAUAUACGGGGGCAGGGGCACCCCAUAGAGACAACAAUUGAUCAAGUUGAUCUUUUAGCCUUGUGCGGUGCCCCCUCCACCAUAGUCCACCUCGAUAAUACUAUAGCGGUGCUUAGGCAAAGUCCUGCGUCGGUAGAACAUCAACAUCGUCACCACGCCAUCGUGCUGACGAAACUCUUCAUCAACACUCGGCUGGAUCGGAGUUCGAGGGACGUCAUCGGGCUGAACGUGUGUUGAACUCGAAGGUGCCGUGUGUUCGGUACUUGAUCGGUCGAAUCAUGAAGACGUACGACUACAUCAACCGCGUUGUGCUAACGCUUCCGCUUUCGGUCUACGAGGGUACGUGGACAACACUCUCCCCUCUCGUUGUUGUGCAUCACCAUGAUCUUGCGUGUGCAUAGGAAUUUUUUUGAAAUUACUACGUUCCCCAACAGUGGCAUCCGAGCCAGGUUUUACGCGUAGAUGUCAUAUGCACGAGUAGAACACAAGUGAGUUGUGGGUGAUAUAAGUCAUACUGCUUACCAGCAUGUCAUACUUUGGUUCGGCGGUAUUGUUGGAUGAAGCGGCCCGGACCGACAUUACGCGUACGCUUACGCGAGACUGGUUCUACCGAUGUGCUUUGCACACAGGUGGCUGGCGGGUGUCGGUUUCACCAACUUUAGUUGAACUGAGUGUGGCUAUGCCCGGUCCUUGGGAAGGUUAAAACAGCACCAACUUGACGAACUAUCGUUGUGGUUUUGAUGCGUAGGUAAGAACGGUUCUUGCUAAAGCCCAUAGCAGCCACGUAAAACUUGCAACAACAAAGUAGAGGACAUCUAACUUGUUUUUGCAGGGCAUGUUGUGAUGUGAUAUGGUCAAGACAUGAUGCUAAAUUUUAUUGUAUGAGAUGAUCAUGUUUUGUAACCGAGUUAUCGGCAACUGGCAGGAGCCAUAUGGUUGUCGCUUUAUUGUAUGCAAUGCAAUCGCCCUGUAAUGCUUUAGUUUAUCACUAAGCGGUAGCGAUAGUCGUGGAAGCAUAAGAUUGGCAAGACGACAACGAUCCUACGAUGGAGAUCAAGGUGUCACGCAGGUGACGAUGGUGAUCAUGACGGUGGUUCGGAGAUGGAGAUCACAAGCACAAGAUAAUGAUGGCCAUAUCAUAUCACUUAUACUGAUUGCAUGUUGUAACGCCCCAAGACCGAUGUGCCAGGUGUCUUCCAGUUAUUCGCCGUCGUUGCCAUGUCAUUUGCUUGCGUGUUGCAUCUUGUCAUGUCAUCAUAUGCAUUGCAUCAUCAUGUUUUCAAAACCUGCAUCUGUCUCGGUCUCCCAGUUCCUUCCGUUGUCCGUUCCGAGCCCAGACACACUUGCACGCGCCCGCGGCAUGUCCGAAAUAUUAUUUUAUAAGUGGCCGGAAAAUGUUCUCAGAAUGGGAUGAAAGUUGGCGUGUGGUCUUAUUAUAGUGUAGAUAGACCGCAUGUCAAGUUUCAUCACAUUCGGAGUUCGUUUGACGCCCCAAUGAUUAACUAUAGCGACAUUAUAGUCGGUCAAAAUGUCGGACGUUUUCGGGCUCCGGAAACAGUUGUCGGGCUGCACUCCUCUCCUCUCGUCUCAGCCCAACCCGCUCUCCACAGUCCACCUAGGCCCAUGCCUACCCCUCUUUGCGCAGUGCAUCGGACCUUCUCGCGCGCGCGUCCGAAAGAUGUCCCGGACCCGACCCGGACAGUCGUCAUUGUUGGAUCCGGAUCAUCCCCAAACAUCUACAAAACAUCUCCGUUUUGUUAAUUGGACUCCCUAGCUACUUUAUCCGCGAUCAUCCGAUUGCGAUCGUAGGGUCGAGAUAGCCCCUAACCUAACCCGUGGUGUAUAUUCGUCCACCCCUAGUCCUUUUUGGUCAAACACUAGAAAUUAGGAGGUUUGUCCCUUCACCCGCCGCCGCACUCUCCACCUAAUCCCCUCUCGGGAUCCUCCCAGAUCUGAUCCAGCCAGCCACGCGCAGCCAACCGCCCUUCCUCAUUUUCAGAUCCACCAUCCAUCCCUUCGAUCCAUCUUCAGUCAACGAGUGCCAACGCUCAAAUCCCGCAGGAGCCCGAUGCCCUCUGCGCCUCGAUCCAUCCUCACCUACAAGAUCAGCUCCGUCCUCUCCAUCCCGCCAUAGAUGAGCAUCACACAGCCCUUUUCCUUCUCUUGUCGUCCUCGUCUCUCAACUCUCUCUCAUCUCUCUCUCUUAUCUUCACCAGGAGAUCGCCACCAAUUGAAGAUGCAGCAUCGUCCCCGAGCUCCGUCCGUGACGCCAAGUCCCUAACGCCCAGGACCUCCUCCUCGCCGCCCGUCGUCUUCGUUCAAGCCCGCCGCCAGCCGCCCGCGACCGCCUCCCCCGCAUCUGCAUCGCCUCGCCAGAGUUCCAUGCGCGCCGCUGCCGUCGUCUUCGCGCCUCCGGCGACCGAAAGCCACCAGUGCACCAGGACCCAUCACGUGCCUCCUCUGCAUCGAACGGGGAAGACGAGAUGCAUGUUUUCCUUCGUCAUUGCUGCGCCCGCACGCCAAGUUCCUCGCGGCUCCACCGGAGACUGGUCCUCGCCGGCCUUCCCUGUUCGCCCGCCGCCGCUCCAUGCCAAGUCCCUCGCCUCGCUGCCCCUUUGCCCUCUCAUCAGAGCUCUGCUCUAGGCGCCGCCGCAGCUCGCUUCAGUAAACGGGACAACGAGUGCACGAGCAGCGCUCGCGUUGACCGCCCCCUGGCCCAGCGGCCUCGCUCAGUGCCUCCACCAACUGGGCCUCAGCCCAUGGUGAGCCUCCACUGCGCCCCCCCUUCCACUGUUGGGCUAGUGUGAUUCGGCCCGAUGUAUUUUUUCUGCUAUGAAUGAAUUUUGCUAUUUACAGAAAACUACAUAUUUACAGAUUACCCCUUGCUCUUCAUGCAUUUAAUAACUCUCAAAGCGUGCAUCCAAAUUAAACAAACUUUAUAUGAAAGAUGCUUAGAAUUUUGUGUAGUUUCAUAAUAUGUCAUUUUCAUCCAUGUUUAAAAUGUUUAAACAUGCUGUUUGGUUAAAUUUGUCCCUAUGCCAUGUUAAAAUAAUUUAAAUCAUAACUUAAUAACCGUAGCUCCAAACCUAACAAACUUUAUAUGUAAAUGGGGUAGAAUUUUGCCUACUUUAACAUGGUGACUUUGCUUUGCAUGUCUAACAACUCUAAAAUUGUGUUUAGGGCAGAACAGUACCAAACCUAAUUUAUGCAUAUGAGGAUUUUCCGGAGUUGUUGUUCGUUGUUUCCGGCCUCAUUUAAACUUGACUAGAUAGGUAGUUUUACUUUUGCUUCACCCUCUUGCCAUUUUAAUCAACAUUUAAUCUUGUUGGGUACCUAAAUAAGAGAGAACUAAAUAAGUCAUGUGGUGUUUCGUCAAUAUGCAAUUGAGCUCCACUUAAUUUGUAGGAUUGUUUGUGCACUUUGCCAUGCCAUGCAUAUUUAAACUGGACAUGCAUCAUACUUGAUUGUGCAUCAUGACAUGAUUAUGUGAUGGUUGUUUACUAUGUUGUUUGCUCCUUUCCGGUGUUGCUUCUUCGGGUUGGUUCCGAUAACGUCGCAUUGUGAGGAUCCGUUCGACUUUGUCCGUUUGUCUUCUUCAUGGACUCGUUCUUCUUCCUUGCGGGAUCUCAGGCAAGAUGACCAUACCCUCGAAAUCACUUCUAUCUUUGCUUGCUAGAUGCUCGCUCUUUUGCUAUGCCUAUGCUGUGAUACCUACCACUUGCUUAUCAUGCCUCCCAUUUUGUUAAGCCAAGCCUCUAACCCACCUUGUCCUAGCAAACCAUUGUUUGGCUAUGUUACCACUUUGCUUAGCCCCUCUUAUAGCGUUGUUAGUUGCAGGUGAAGAUUGGAGUUUGUUCCUUGUUGGAACAUGGAUAUUUUGUUGGGAUAUCACAAUAUCUCUUAUUUAAUUAAUGCAUCUAUAUACUUGGUAAAGGGUCGAAGGCUCGGCCUUAUGCCUGGUGUUUUGUUCCACUCUUGCCGCCCUAGUUUCCGUCAUAUCGGUGUUAUGUUCCCGGAUUUUGCGUUCCUUACACGGUUGGGUUACAAUGGGAACCCCUUGACAGUUCGCCUUGAAUAAAACUCCUCCAGCAAUGCCCAACAUUGGUUUUACCAUUCGCCACCUAGCCUCUUUUCCAUUGGGAGUCAUGCUCCCGAGGGUCAUCAUUAUUUUAACCCCCCCAUGCUAGUGCUCCUCUAAGUGUUGGUCCAAACUAGAGCCCUGUGCAGCGCCCCCUCGGGGAAACUCGAGGUUUGGUUUUAGUUGUAUGGAGUGCUCAUCUGAGUGUGCCCUGAGAACGAGAUAUGUGAAGCUCCUAUCGGGAUUUUUCGGCACAUUCGGGCGGUGUUGCUGGACUUGUUUUACCAUUGUCGAGGAUGUCAUGUAACCGAGAUGCCGAGUCUGAUCGGAUUGUCUUGGGAGAAGGAAUAUCCUUCGUUGACCGUGAGAGCUUGUGAUGGGCUAAGUUGGGACACUCCUGCAGGGAUUUGAACUUUCGAAAGUCGUGCCCGCGGUUAUGGGCAGAUGGGAAUUUGUUAAUGUCCAUUUGUAGAAAACCUGAAACUUAACUUAAUUAAAAUGCAUCUACCGCGUGUGUAAGCGUGAUGGUCUCUUUCCGGCGGAGUCCGGGAAGUGAACACGGUGUUGGAGGUAUGCUUGAUGUAGGUUGUUCUGGGAUCACUUCUUGAUCAUAGUUGUUCGACCGUGCCUUUGCCUUCUCUUCUCGUUGUCAUUUGCGUAUGUUAGCCACCAUAUAUGCUAGUCGCUUGUUGCAGAUCCACCUCAUACAUUUUACCUUACCUAUAAGCUUAAAUAGUCUUGAUCGCGAGGGUGUGAGAUUGCUGAGUCCCCGUAACUCACAGAUACUUCCAAAACCAGUUUGCAGGUGUCGAUGUACCGAGCAGGUGAUGCAACCAAGCUCAAGGACGAGAUCAAUGAAGAUCUUGUCCUUUGUGUUGUUUCGUUCUAGUUGAUCAGUAGUGGAGCCCAGUUGGGGUCGAUCGGGGAUCUGUGUAGCAUUUGGGGUAGUCUUCUUUUAUUUUGGUUCCGUAGUCGGACCUUGAGUGUAUUUGGAUGAAUGUAAUGCUUUAUUCAUGUAUUGUGUGAAGUGGCGAUUGUAAGCCAACUAUGUAUCUAUUUUCCCCUUAAUGUAUUACAUGGGUUGUUGUGAAGAUUACCUCACUUGCGACAUUGCUUUCAAUGCGGUUAUGCCUCUAAGUCGUGCUUCGACACGUGGGAGAUAUAGCCGCAUCGAGGGCGUUACACAUGUGAUGUUUAUCUUUUAUGCAUAUUAUCUUGCUUUGAUUGAUGGUAGCAUUAUAAGAUGAUCUCUCACUAAAUUUCAAGAUAAAAAGUGGUCUCCCUGAGUAUGCACCAUUGCCAAAGUUUGUCGUGCCCAGACACCACAUGAUGAUUGGGUGUGAUAAGCUCUAUGUCCAUCUACAACGGGUGCAAGCCAGUUUUGCACACGCAGAAUACUCAGGUUAAACUUGACGAGCCUAGCAUAUGCAGAUAUGGCCUCGGAACACUGAGACCGAAAGGUCGAGCGUGAAUCAUAUAGUAGAUAUGAUCAACAUAGUGAUGUUCACCAUUGAAAACUACUCCAUUUCACGUGAUGAUCGGUUAUGGUUUAGUUGAUUUGGAUCACGUGAUCACUUAUAAGAUUAGAGGGAUGCCUUUCUAAGUGGGAGUUCUUAAGUAAUAUGACUAACUGAACUUAAAUUUAUCAUGAACUUAGUCCUGGUAGUAUUAGCAUAUCUAUGUUGUAGAUCAAUAGCUCGCGUUUAGCUCCCCUGUUUUAUUUUUGAUAUGUUCCUAGAGAAAACUAAGUUGAAAGAUGUUAGUAGCAAUGAUGCGGAUUGGAUCCAUGAUAUGAGGUUUAUCCUCAUUGUUGCACAGAAGAAUUAUGUCUUUGAUGCACCGCUAGGUGACAAACCUAUUGCAGGAGCAGAUGCAGAUGUUAUGAACGUUUGGCUAGCUCAAUAUGAUGACUACUUGAUAGUUUAGUGCACCAUGCUUAAAUGGCUUAGAAUCGGGACUUCAAAGACGUUUUGAACGUCAUGAACCAUAUGAGAUGUUCCAGGAGUUGAAGUUAAUAUUUCAAGAAAAUACUCGAGUUGAGAGAUAUGAAGUCUCCAACAAGUUCUAUAGCUAAAAGAUGGAGGAGAAUAGCUCAAGCAGUGAGCAUGCGCUCAGAUUGUCUGGGUACUACAAUCGCUUGAAUCAAGUGGGAGUUAAUCUUCCAGAUAAAAUAGUGAUUGAUAGAAUUCUCUAGUCACCAUCACCAAGUUAGUAGAACUUCAUGACGAACUAUAAUAUGCAAGGGAUAACGGAAACGAUUCCCAAGCUCUUUGUGAUGCUGAAGUCGACGAAGAUAGGAAUCAAGAAAAGCAUCAAGUGUUGAUGGUAAAAAGAACCACUAGUUUCAAGUAAAGGGACAAAGGGAAGAAAGGGGAACUUAAAGAAGAACGGCAAACAAGUUGCUGCUCAAGUGAAAAAACCCAAGUCUGGACCUAAGCCUGAAACUGAGUGCUUCUACUGCAAAGGGACUGGUCAUUGGAAGCGGAACUACCCCAAGUAAUUGGCGGAUAAGAAGGAUGGCAAAGUGAACAUAGGUAUAUUUGAUAUACAUGUUAUUGAUGUGUACUUUACUAAUGUUUAUAGCAACCCCUCGGUAUUUGAUACUAGUUCAGUUGCUAAGAAUAGUAACUCGAAACGGGAGUUGCAGAAUGAACAGAGACUAGUUAAGGGUGAAGUGAUGAUGUGUAUUGGAAAUGAUUCCAAGAUUGAUAUGAUCAUCAUCGCACACUCCCUAUACUUUCGAGAUUAGUGUUAAACCUAAAAUAAAUGUUAUUUAGUGUUUGCAUUGACCAUAAAUAUGAUUGGUUCAUGUUUAUUGUAAUACGGUUAUUCAUGUAAGUUAGAGAAUAAUUGUUGUUCUGUUUACAUGAAUAAAACCUUCUAUGGUCAUACACCCAAUGAAAAUGGUUUGUUGGAUCUCGAUCGUGGUUAUACACAUUUUUCAUAAUAUUGAAGCCAAAAGAUGCAAAGUUAAUAAUGAUAGUGCAACUUAUUUGUGGCACUAUCGUUUAGGUCAUAUUGGUGUAAAGCGCAUGAAGAAAAUCCAUGAUGAUGGGCUUUUGGAAUCACUUGAUUAUGAAUUAGUUGAUGCUUGCGAACCAUGCCUCAUGGGAAAGAUGACUAAGACUCCGUUCUCCGGAACAAUGGAGCGAGCAACAGAUUUGUUGGAAAUCAUACAUACUGAUGUAUGUGGUCCAAUGAAUAUUGAGGCUCGCGGCAAGUAUCAUUAUUUUCUGAUCUUCACGGAUGAUUUGAGCAGAUAUGAGUAUAUCUACUUGAUGAAACACAAGUCUGAAACAUUUGAAAAGUUCAAAGAAUUUCAGAGUGAAGUGGAGAAUCAUCGUAACAAAAAUAAAAGUUUCUACGGUAUGAUCGCAGAAGUAAAAUAUUUGAGUUAAUGAGUUUGGCCUUCAGUUAAAACAAUGUGAAAUAGUUUCACUACUCAUGCCACCUGGAACACCACAGUGUAAUGGUGUGUCCGAACGUCAUAACCAUACUUUAUUAGAUAUAGUGCGAUCUAUAAGGUCUCUUGCCGAUCUACCAUUAUCAUUUUGGGGUUAUGCAUUAGAGACAACUACAUUCACGUUAAAUAGGGCACCAUCUAAAUCCGUGGAGAUGACACCGUAUGAACUAUGGUUUGGUGACAAACCUAAGCUGUCGUUUCUUAAAGUUUGGGACUACGAUGCUUAUGUGAAAAAGUUUCAACAAGAUAAGCUCGAACCCAAGUCGGAAAGUAAAUCUUCAUAGUAUACCCAAAAGAAACUGUUGGGUACACCUUCUAUCACAGAUCCAAAGGCAAGAUAUUCGUUGCUGAGAAUGGAUCCUUUCUAGAGAAGGAUUUUCUCUCGAAAGAAGUGAGUGGGAGGAAAGUGGAACUUGAUAAGGUAAUUGUACCAUCUCCUGAAUUGGAAAAUAGUUCAUCACAGAAAUCAGUUCCAGUGAUGUCUACACCAACAAGAGAGGAAGUUAAUGAUGAUGAUCAUGAAACUUCAGAUCAAGUUACUACAGAACUUCGUAGAUCAACCAGAGUGAGAUCCGCACCAGAGUGGUAUGGUAAUCCUGUUCUGGAGUUCAUGUUACUUGACCAUGACGAACCUAUGAACUAUGAGGAAGCGAUGAUGAGCCCAGAUUUCAUAAAAUGGUUUAAGGCUAUGAAAUCUGAGAUGGGAUCCAUGUAUAAGAACAAAGUAUGGACUUUGAUUGACUUGCCCGAUGAUUGGUGAGCCAUUGAGAUUAAAUGGAUCUUCAAGAGGAAGACGGACGCUGAUAGUAGUGUUACUAUCUACAAAGCUAGAAUUGUCGCAAAAGGUUUUCGACAAGUUCAAGGUGUUGACUACGAUGAGAGUUUCUCACUCGUAUCUAUGCUUAAGUCUGUCCGAAUCAUGUUGGAAAUUGCCGCAUUUUAUGAAAUCUGGCAAAUGGAUAAACAAAACUGCAUUCCUUAAUGGAUUUAUAAGGAAGAGUUGUAUAUGAUGCAACCAGAAGGUUUUGUCAAUCCUAAAGGUACUAACAAAAUAUGCAUGCUCCAGCGAUCCAUCUAUGGACUGGUGCAAGCAUCUCGGAGUUGGAAUAUACGCUUUGAUAAGUUGAUCAAAGCAUAUAGUUUUAUACAGGCUUGCGGUGAAGCUUGUAUUUACAAGAAAGUGAGUGGGAGCACUACAACAUUUUUGAGAAGUAUAUGUGAAUGACAUAUUGUUGAUCAAAGAUAAUGUAGAAUUAUUCUGCAAAGCAUAAAGGAAUGUUUGAAAGGAGUUUUUCAAAGAAAGACCUCGGUGAAGCUUCUUACAUAUUGAGCAUCAAGAUCUAUAGAGAUAGAUCAAGACGCUUGAUAAGUUUUCAAUGAGUACAUACCUUGACAAGUUUUUGAAGUAGUUCAAAAUGGAACAGUCAAAGAAGGAGUUCUUUCCUGUGUUACAAGGUGUGAAGUUGAGUAAGACUCAAAACCCGACCACGGCAGAAGAUAGAGAGAGAAUGAAAGGCAUUCCCUAUGCCUCAGCCAUAGGUUCUAUAAAGUAUGCCAUGCUGUGUACCAGACCUAUUGUAUACCCUGCCCUGAGUUUGGCAAGGGAGUACAAUAGUGAUCUAGGAGUAGAUCACUGGACAUUGGUCAAAAUUAUCCUUAGUUGAAUAAGGAUAUGUUUCUCGAUUAUGGAGGUGACAAAAGGUUCGUCGUAACGGGUUACGUCAAUGCAAGUUUUGGCACUGAUCCAGAUGACUCAAAGUCUCAAUCUGGAUACAUAUUGAAAGUGGGAGCAAUUAGCUAGAGUAGAUCCGUGCAGAGCAUUGUUGACAUAGAAAUUUGCAAAAUACAUACGGAUCUGAAUGUGGCAGACCCGUUGACUAAACUUCCCUCACAAGCAAAACAUGAUCACACCUUAGUACUAUUUGGGUAUUAAUCACAUAGCGAUGUGAACUAGAUUAUUGACUCUAGUAAACCCUUUGGGUGUUGGUCACAUGACGAUGUGAACUAUGGGUGUUGAUCACAUGGUGAUGUGAACUAUUGAUGUUAAAUCACAUGGCGAUGUGAACUAGAUUAUUGACUCUAGUGCAAGUGGGAGACUGAAGGAAAUAUGCCCUAGAGGCAAUAAUAAAGUUAUUAUCUAUUUCCUUAUUUCAUGAUAACUGUUUAUUAUUUAUGCUAGAAUUGUAUUCACCAGAAACAUAAUACAUGUGUGAAUACAUAGACAAACAGAGUGUCACUAGUAUGCCUCUACUUGACUAGCUCGUUGAAUCAAAGAUGGUUAAGUUUCCUAGCCAUAGCCAUGAGUUAUCAUUUGAUUAACAGGGUCACAUCAUUAGAGAAUGAUGUGAUUGACUUGACCCAUUCCGUUAGCAUAGCACUUGAUCGUUUAGUUUGUUGCUAUUGCUUUCUUCAUGACUUAUACAUGUUCCUAUGACUAUGAGAUUAUGCAACUCCCAUUUACCAGAGGAACACUUUGUGUGCUACCAAACGUCACAACGUAACUGGGUGAAUAGAAAGGUGCUCUACAUGUGUCUCUAAAGGUACUUGUUGGGUUGGCGUAUUUCGAGAUUAGGAUUUGUCACUCCGAUUGUCGGAGAGGUAACUCUGGGCCCUCUCGGUAAUGCACAUCACUUAAGCCUUGCAAGCAUUGCAACUAAUGAGUUAGUUGCGGGAUGAUGUAUUACAGAACGAGUAAAGAGACUUGCCGGUAACAAGAUUGAACUAGGUAUUGAGAUACCGACAAUCGAAUCUCGGGCAAGUAACAUACCGAUGACAAAGGGAACAACGUAUGUUGUUAUGCGGUUUGACCGAUAAAGAUCUUCGUAGAAUAUGUGGGAGCCAAUAUGAACAUCCAGGUUCCGCUAUUGGUUAUUAACCGAAGACAUGUCUCGGUCAUGUCUACAUAGUUCUCGAACCCGUAGGGUCCGCACGCUUAACGUUUCGAUGACGGUUAUAUUAUGAGUUUAUAUGUUUUGAUGUACCGAAGGUUGUUCGGAGUCCCGGAUGUGAUCCCGGACAUGACGAGGAGUCUCGAAAUGGUCGAGACAUGAAGAUUGAUAUAUUGGAAGCCUAUGUUUGGAUAUCGGAAGUGUUCCGGGUGAAAUCGGGAUUUUACUGGAGUACCGGGAGGUUACCGGAACCCCCCGGGAGGUAAAUGGGCCUUAGUGGGCCUUUAUAGAGAAGAGGAGAGGCGGCCAGGGCUGGGCCGUGCGCCCCUCCCCCUUAGUCCCAAUAGGACAAGGAGAGGGGGCGGCGCCCCCCUUUCCUUCUCUCCCUCCUCUCUCCCCCUCUCGAAUCCUAUUCCAAUUAGGAAAAGGGGGGAGUCGUACUUCCGGUAGGAGUAGGACUCCUCCUGGCGCGCCCUCUCCCUGGUCGGCCGCACCCCCCCCCCUUGCUCCUUUAUACACGGGGGCAGGGGCACCCCAUAGAGACAACAAUUGAUCAAGUUGAUCUUUUAGCCGUGUGCGGUGCCCCCCUCCACCAUAGUCCACCUCGAUAAUACUGUAGUGGUGCUUAGGCGAAGCCCUGCAUCGAUAGAACAUCAACAUCGUCACCGCGCUGUCGUGCUGACGAAACUCUCCCUCAACACUCGGCUGGAUCGGAGUUCGAGGGACGUCAUCGGGCUGAACGUGUGCUGAACUCGGAGGAGUCGUGCGUUCGGUACUUGAUCGGUCGAAUCGUGAAGACGUACGAGUACAUCAACCGCGUUGUGCUAACGCUUCCGCUUUCGGUCUAUGAGGGUACGUGGACAACACUCUCCCCUCUCAUUGUUGUGCAUCACCAUGAUCUUGCGUGUGCGUGGGAAAUUUUUUGAAAUUACUACAUUCCCCAACAGAUAUUAGAGUCAUGCUAGUGGAGUAAUUGUGAACCUGAGAGAUAUUUGUGUUAAAGUUUGUGAUUCCCGUAGCAUGCAUGUUUGGUGAACCGUUAUGUGAUGAAGUUGGAGCAUGAUUUAUUUAUUGAUUGUCUUCCUUAUGAGUGGCAGUCGGGAUCGCGCGAUGGUUAACUCCUACAAACCCUUCCCCUAGGAGCAUGCGCAUAGUACUUUGUUUCGAUGACUAAUAGAUUUUUGCAAUAAGUAUGUGAGUUCUUUAUGACUAAUGUCGGGUCCAUGGAUUAUACGCACUCUCGCCCUUCCACCAUUGCUAGCUUCUCUUGUGUCGCACAACUUUCGCCGGUACCAUACACCCACCAUUUACCCUCCUCAAAACAGCCACCAUACCUACCUAUUAUGGCAUCUCCAUAGCCAUUCCGAGAUAUAUUGCCAUGCAACUUUCCACCAUUCCGUUUAUUAUGACAUGCUUCAUCAUUGUAUAUUGUUUUGCAUGAUCAUGUAGUUGACAUCGUAUUUGUGGCAAAGCCACCUUUCAUAAUUCUUUCAUACAUGUCACUCUUGAGUCAUUGCACAUCCCGGUACACCGCCGGAGGCAUUCAUAUAGAGUCAUAUUUUGUUCUAAGUAUUGAGUUGUAAUUCUUGAGUUGUAAGUAAAUAAAAGUGUGAUGAUCAUCAUUAUUAGAGCACUGUCCCAGUGAGGAAAGGAUGAUGGAAACUAUGAUUCCCCCACAAGUCGGGUUGAGACUCCGGACGGAAAAAAAAGAGGCCAAAAAAAUAGAGGGCCCAAAAAAGAGAAAACAAAAAAUGAGAGAAAAAGAGAGAAGGGGCAAUCCUACUAUCCUUUUACCACACUUGUGCUUCAAAGUAGCACCAUGAUCUUCAUAAUAGAGUCUCAUGUGUUGUCACUUUCAUAUACUAGUGGGAAUUUUCCAUCAUAGAACUUGGCUUGUAUAUUCCAACGAUGGGCUUCCUCAAAUGCCCUAGGUCUUCAUGAGCAAGCAAGUUGGAUGCACACCCACUUAGUUUCUUUUUGAGCUUUCAUACACUAAUAGCUCUAGUGCAUCCGUUGCAUGGCAAUCCCUACUCACUCACAUUGAUAUCUAUUGAUGGGCAUCUCCAUAGCCCGUUGAUACGCCUAGUUGAUGUGAGACUAUCUCUGAUGAAUACAUGACUACCUUGGAUACAACCAAAAAUAUUCCAUACAUGUAUAUUUGUGAGGUGAUUUCUAAUGAAAACUAUGCAAUAAUUUAUUUAUGUCAUCCAGGACAAAAAUACUUCACAAACUUUUGUGCCAUGUCUAAUUGCAGGUGUAUGGGACAUUUAUACAAUCCACAUAUGAAGAUAAGGGGAAAAGAGAAGUUUAGGUGUUGUUCAAAAAGUCCUCUCACGUCACUUUUGGGCCAAGAGAAGAUAGAGUCCAAGUCUCUUACAUUCUGAAUUCAGAUUCGGACUGCACAGACAUACCUGACUCAAAACGCCAACAACUUUUUCAUACGGACUCCAAAUUAGGUGAUUGUUUUUUUGUUUGAAAGUAGAUUUCGUUCUCUUUCCAACACAAUUGGAUUGACCUCCAAAUUCGUCUGAAGCGUUGAUUUAUGGACGAAACAAUCUGACGUUGCAGCAGAAUCCGAGUCAAAUUACAAGCCCAAAGGUGUUGCAUCACCUCCACUUGGGCCCAUGAGCCUUGUACGAUCUAGGGUUAGUUUUAGGCUGCCUUGGGAUGUCCUCCCACCUCCUUGGCCGCCACCCCUUGCUCCUAUAUAAGUAGAUCCAUCUAGUAGCUUUUUCCUUGGGAUUUGUUUAGUUAAAAGUUAGCCAACGCAACUUCGUGUACUUCGUUUGUGUCCAACGACCAGACCAAGACCGCUUCUGGAUCCCCACCAUUAUCAAUACUUCAUAUAUAUUCGCAAUAUUGAGAUUGCUUUAUCAUAUUCUUGCUCGUUCUUCGAUUGCUUGUAGGAAUAGACCUUCGUGGUCAGGCUGACCGUGCUUCCGGCAUCGUCAGUAACAUCGGGAGAUUGGUUUAGCGAUUGCUAAGGCGCAACGUCAUGCACGUUUGUAGUCGGAUUGUCAAAGUCAUCUCCACCAAAUCGAUAGUUAUCAUCUCAUCGAAAGAUCGGGACACCCUCGCCUGAUGUUUGUGUUGUUUGUCCUGAUGAGGACAUCAGUAUCAUUGUUACAACCACAACCCCUGCUGCUAUACAUACUGGACCAAUUACUAGAGCUCGCGCACGCCAAUUAAAUUAUCAGGUACUUUCGUUUCUUGGUAAUGAUUCUAAUGUUCAUGAGAAUAUGAUGCUGCCUAAAUUGGGUACAUUUGUUUUUCUUACAAAUGAAGGGUCUGGCAUGGAUAAGAGGGAUGAACACUGGAGCAAGACCAAGCAUGGAGAUGAUGGCAUGUGCAAGGGGAUCAAGAACGGAGUUACAAUUGAUGAUUUCAGGACUUUGAAGCCACCAUUAGGAGUGCAUGAAGCCUUGGACGAAAUAUACAAGAUGCCACUUCAUAAAUUUCGUCCAGAGACUAUUCUAGGUGUUGCGUCACCUUAUUAUUGGGCCAGGCCCAUAUAUUUUCGAAAUACUUAAGUAUAGGCUGUUUUUAGAGUCUGUAUGUGUGGGGAAACAAGAGUUAGGGUUGGUUUCGGACCCCUCCUCCAAGGGCCACGAAAUCCCCCCCCCCUCUUCCUUCAUAUAUACAGCCCUUAGGGCGUCGUUUAGACUUUGGGUUUUGUUCAGAUUAAAAGUUCGCCAUAGCUGCAACUUCGCAUACUUCGUUUGUGUUCAACGACCAGACCAAGAUGUCACAGAACCCCACCUUGAUCGAUAAAGCUUUCAUCUUAUAUUCGCAAUAUCCAGAUUGCAAUCUCAGUUUCUUGCUUGUUCUUCAUUUGCUCAUAGGAAACAGACCCUCCUAGUCAGGUUGAUCGUGCUCCGACGUGGUCAAUAACCCCUCGGAAGUUGGCUUAGCGAUUGCUAACUUGCGACGUCUCGCACGUUCGUAGUCGAAUCGUCAAGGUCGACUCCCACAGAAAACGAUAGCCACCCUCUCAUUGAAACAUCGGGACACCUUCGCCUCUAUCAAGUGGUAUCAGAUUUCCAGGUUGCUCGGUGAAAUUUUACAGUUUUUCAUAGUUUAGAUCGAGUCUGUUCUUCAUACCUACAGUCCACGAAAAAAUCAAAAAAAAUUACAGUUAGUUCAUCAUAUUCGAACCAGUCUGAGCCUUUGCAUAGUCUUUUCAGUAUUUUGCUUUGUUGAAUUUGCAGUUGCAUCAUCGUGUCUAGUUGCUGGUCUUAGAGUCUAGUCUUUUAGAGUUUCGAUUUCUGGUCAUAAGUUGUCACGCCGCCGUCGCACGAUCAUCAUCGCCCCUCCCUUCUACCACCACCGCUUAUCCGCCACCGAUCCGUCUCCAUAUACCAUCACCAAUCUGUAUCCAUAUACCACCACCAAUCUGUAUCCAUAUACCACCACCGCUGCCAUAUCCUACCACCAUAUAUCCACCACCAAUCCGAGUUCCUUUCAUAUUAGGUUUGUUUUCGAGAUUCGUCUAAUUUCCGAUUCGUGUUUCCUUGCGUGAGUAGGUUUCAGAAGAAAAAAAAGAGUCUGGAGACCCCCAGGCAGUUUUUAGGCCAAAAUUUUCGCAGGCAAAACUAUUUUUCCCUAUUCAAUUUUUAGGCUUUUCUGAGUCUUUUGAGCCACGUGUCAUCAUAGAGAUUUUUUGUCGCACUUUUUUGUUGUCGCUGCCCUGAUUUCCGAAAAAAAAGUUAAAAAAAAUUUGUGCCCAUCCUGUUAGUUUGACCUGGGAAGAGUUUUGAGACACUCGCCAUUAUAGUGAUUUUUCACAAAAAAAGAGGAGCGCCAAAAAAACAGAGCGAAAAAUCCAGAGUGUGCUUUUCCCUUGUUUACGUACAGCGCCGUGAUUUUGUUAGUGUUCUAGGCUCGCGUCUCUAGCACGGUCAAGCCUAGGACUAGCACAGUACCGUCAUUGAGCGUUUAUUCAACUUUGCAUCUCUGAAUUGAUUAUUGAUAAUCUUUUUGCUACCAUAUUAUAAGCCUUCCUAGCUCCACAUACAUCUACGUCGUGCGUUUGACUCUCCCUGGUAAUCGCUCUAUCCAAGCUUUGAGAUUUUUGACUACAUCGGUUGCCGAUCACCACCUGCUGGGUAAGAACUGGUAAGAAUUUGAGAUUUGCUUGACGGAUUUGUGACAACAGCAACAACAACAACAACAUCAACAACAACAGCAGCAGCAACAACAACAACAACAACAACAACAACAACAACAACAACAACAACAACAACAACAACAACAACAGCAACAACAACAGCAACAGCAGCAGCAACAGCAGCAGCAACAGCAGCAGCAACAGCAGCANNNNNNNNNNNNNNNNNNNNNNNNNNNNNNNNNNNNNNNNNNNNNNNNNNNNNNNNNNNNNNNNNNNNNNNNNNNNNNNNNNNNNNNNNNNNNNNNNNNNNNNNNNNNNNNNNNNNNNNNNNNNNNNNNNNNNNNNNNNNNNNNNNNNNNNNNNNNNNNNNNNNNNNNNNNNNNNNNNNNNNNNNNNNNNNNNNNNNNNNNNNNNNNNNNNNNNNNNNNNNNNNNNNNNNNNNNNNNNNNNNNNNNNNNNNNNNNNNNNNNNNNNNNNNNNNNNNNNNNNNNNNNNNNNNNNNNNNNNNNNNNNNNNNNNNNNNNNNNNNNNNNNNNNNNNNNNNNNNNNNNNNNNNNNNNNNNNNNNNNNNNNNNNNNNNNNNNNNNNNNNNNNNNNNNNNNNNNNNNNNNNNNNNNNNNNNNNNNNNNNNNNNNNNNNNNNNNNNNNNNNNNNNNNNNNNNNNNNNNNNNNNNNNNNNNNNNNNNNNNNNNNNNNNNNNNNNNNNNNNNNNNNNNNNNNNNNNNNNNNNNNNNNNNNNNNNNNNNNNNNNNNNNNNNNNNNNNNNNNNNNNNCAGCAACAGCAACAGCAACAGCAACAGCAACAGCAACAGCAACAGCAACAGCAACAGCAACAGCAACAGCAACAGCAACAGCAACAGCAACAGCAACAGCAACAGCAACAACAACAACAACAACAACAGCAACAACAACAACAACAACAACAACAACAACAACAACAACAACAACAACAACAACAACAACAACAACAACAACAACAACAACAACAACAACAACAACAACAACAACAACAACAACAACAACAACAACAACAACAACAACAACAACAACAACAACAACUACAACAACAACAACAACAACAACAACAACAACCACGACU